GCCCCUUAUCUUGGUUUGCUCAUAUGGUGUAUCGCUAAUGUGAUGUGCGUAGUGUAAGAUAUAAUUUUUUCUGGUCAUGAUUGAUUCACUAUAGGGUAAAUCAUAUAUGUUUCAAGAUACUGUUUUCUCUACAGUGACAAUAAGAGGAAUGGGUUCCUUCCAUAGAAUCUUGACGAAGGGUGAAGGGCCAUUUUCUUGGAACAGUACUCCUCUUAUAAAAGAGG
This 224-nucleotide long non-coding RNA is filed under the name Elaeis guineensis (African oil palm). Its description in RNAcentral is "long non-coding RNA (EGUI_LNC025291)". The record is from RNAcentral. Lineage: Eukaryota; Viridiplantae; Streptophyta; Magnoliopsida; Arecales; Arecaceae.